Quercus robur (English oak) is the source of this 7805-nucleotide RNA transcript. RefSeq lists it as uncharacterized. The transcript is spliced from 11 exons. Lineage: Eukaryota; Viridiplantae; Streptophyta; Magnoliopsida; Fagales; Fagaceae. The record is from RefSeq and is a predicted model, not a curated record.
AGCACAGUUGUGUGUCUCAACACUUCGUCACAAUCUCAACACUUUGUCUCUUGUCUCUGUGUGUUGUGUGUGUCUCUCUCUCAGUUGUGCUUUAAAAACACAACCUCCCAACAAUCUCUACGAACCUUAGCAAUCUUAGAUAUCCUAUUCAUCGGUAUAGCAGGGUUAGGGUUUAAGGUAUCGAAUCGAAUUUUUUCUCCGUUUCAGAUUAUUUCAGGUGAAAGCUUUGAUGCGCUGUGGUAGUUGAAGCUCGGCUUAUAGGUCAGCAUGGGAUUUGAUAAUGAGUGCAUAUUGAACAUUCAAACUUUAGCUGGAGAAUACUUCUGUCCCGUCUGUCGUCUACUUGUUUAUCCAAAUGAAGCAUUACAGUCACAAUGCACUCAUUUAUACUGCAAGCCCUGUUUGACAUACGUAGUGGGUACUACUCGGGCUUGCCCCUAUGAUGGCUACUUGGUGACCGAAGCUGAUUCCAAGCCGCUUAUUGAAUCAAAUAAAGUGCUUGCUGAAACCAUUGGCAAAAUAGCAGUGCAUUGUCUCUAUCAUAGGAGUGGAUGCACAUGGCAGGGGCCUUUAUCUGAAUGCACAUCUCAUUGUACUGGAUGUGCAUUUGGCAAUUCUCCUGUUGUAUGCAAUAGGUGUGGGAUCCAGAUUGUGCAUCGCCAAGUACAGGAACAUGCACAAAAUUGUCCUGGUGUGCAGCCUCAAGCAGAGGGUGCUCAGGACACAUCAGCCACUGGCGGAACUGCUACUGCUGAUCAGACUCAGACUACCGCUCAGGCAGGAACAACUCCUCAGGCCCAGACAUCUCAAACAACAGCAGCCACUAUACCUGGACAGGAUCCUAAUCAGCAAGCAAACCCAAAUUCUCAAGCACAAGCUUUAGCUCAGUCUGCUGUGGCAACUUCAGAACAGUGGUAUCAGCAACAACAACAGUAUCAACAAUACUACCAGCAGUAUCCUGGAUAUGAUCCUUAUCAACAGCAAUAUCAGCAGUACUACCCUUAUCAACAGCCGACAGUUCCACAAUACCAGCAACAGCAAUUGCAAGCUCCUACAUCACAUGUUACUGUCCAACAUCAACCUCAGGCUUACAUGCAACCUCAGCCCCAUAUCCAGCCUCAACCCCAACUGCAAUCUCAGCCUCAUGGACAGUCUCAAUUACAUGUUCAAGCUCCAGCAGUUGCUCAACCUCAGAACCAGGCACAAGUUAACCUGCAACAGCAACCACUAACCGCGGUACAGCCACAUUCUCAAAUUCAAUCGCAGACUCAACCAGCCCCGAGCCACCCACAUCCUCAGCCUCAGCCCCAUCUGACCCAACCUCAUCCACAGCAACAUGUCCCGAUGCCUCAAUAUCAGCAGCCUCAUCAUCAAAUGCAACAUCCACAGAUCCAAAUCCAGCAACAGGCCCAUCAGCAUCCUACCUCUCAAGCUCAACCUCAUUCACAAGCUCAGCUACAAGCACCUGUUCAUCCCCACCUAAAUCCUAAUGUGACUCAGAUGCAGCUUCCAUCAGCCCAUGCUGUGACCGGCCAUCAAUCAUAUCCUCAGCCUCAGCCUCACCAGCAAGCGCACCCAGUAGUUCCCCAACAACAUCCAAUGCAAAUGCACCCUCAAGGUGGGUUUCAGCCACAGACUCAACAUCCUGGUCAAAUGCCAAGUCAAUAUCCUCAACAACAUACUACUAUGCGUCCAACCCAUUCUCAUGGUACACUUCCAAACCAGCAACAGGUGGGUUUGUUGCCAUCACCAGGUCAAGGCCAAAACAUCCCUCUUGCACAACAGCAGCCAGUUCAACAACCUGGACACCCAAUACUCCAGCGCCCUGCUAUGCAGCAAGUUCAACAACCCAUGACACAUCAAUAUGUACAGCAGCAGCAGCAGCAGCCUUUCGUUCUGCAAGGUCCUUUUGUACAGCAGCAGAUGCCUACCCAAUCUCAGUUACGCCCCCCAGGCCCUCCCCAUUCAUAUCCACAACAUACUACUGCCUAUCCUCAGGUGCAGCAGAAUUUACCAUUAUCACAUGGAUCUCAAAAUGUUGCUGGAAGGCCUGUGUUGCCAAAUCUUGGAGUACAAUCACACCCAUAUCCUCAACAUGCUGGUGGUGUUCAGGCUAGGCCAAUCCAUCCCGGUGCAAGCCAACCAGCAGCAAAUCAGACUAAUAUAUUCAGGAACAGCAAUCAAGUACAAGUGUCUACUGAACAACAGUCUGGGGUGACUUCAAGACCAACAAGUGUGGGUGAUCAAAAAGCUGAAUCAUCUUCUGAGAAUGCUGUUAAAAAGGACUCAAAUGAUUUGGGUGCUGGUCUUGGUGCUGAUGCUGGUGAUGGUAAAACUGUGAAAUCUGAAACUGAGUCCAAGGAUAAUGGUGAUGCUGAACCUGGAUCAAAUGCUUUUGAAAAUGGAGAACUUGUUAUGCGGAUGGUGAAGGAAGAGGUUACAGAAAGUACUUCGGAGCAUUUAAAGGGUAGUAAAUCAGGUGAAUUUGUAACUGAGAUCAAGAAAGAUGUAGAAAAUUCUGCUAUGGAAGAUAGAGAAAGUCAGGAUGAUCAUCUACUGAAAAAACCCCCAUUGCAAGAAUCUGAACAUGUUGAAAAACUCAGUGGGAAGUUGCAGAAGGAUGCCAGUGGAAUUCAGCAGCCUGAUGAAGGCUCACAAACUUUGUCUACAAUUUCAGCUCCUGUCUCCCGUAGUCCUGCUCAGAAUGUUAUCCCAAAAGGAUCUGUUGCUCAUGGUCCUGGAGUUGAUGAAUACAGAGGUUUUCCUCCACCUGGUCAGGUGCAACCUGGGGGCUUCAUGCAGCCUUCUCACCCAGGUCCAAUUGCUGAUCAGGGAAGGCAUUUUGGGCCUUCUACUCUUCAACAAAGGCCUGGUGCUCCAUUAUUACAAACAACCCCUCAUGCACUUCCACAUUACCCACACACAGCAGGGCACCCUCCCACUCAAUUUAGGCCUCAGGGACCAGGGUAUGCACCUGAGCAUUUCCAGCCACCUGUGUUUAAGCAGUCUCAAGGUCUUGAAAUUCCUCCUGGUGGCAUCUCAGGUCCUGGCUCCGCAGCAUCCUUUGGGAGGGGAACAGGUUAUCAUGGUUUUCCCCAUCAAAACUUUGAAUCACAAUCUGUUGCUCCUCAAGGCCCUCAUAGUCAAGGGCAUGCACUCCCUACCCAUGCUGCAGCUUCCAGAAUGUCUCAAGGUGAAUCUGUUGGACCACCAUUUGGUAUACUACCUCCUGGUGCAAUUGAUUCACAUGGUGGAAUGGCUAGAGCACCACCCCAUGGCCCUGAAGGUUUGAUGGGCCAGCAGCGGCCUAGUAAUCCGAUGGAAACUGAAUUGUUUAUAAAUCAUAGACCUGGCUACAUGGAUGGUAGACGACCUGAUCCACAUCUUCCCGGGUCUUUGGGACUGGGUCCAGUUGGUCAGCCUUCCGGUGUGAUGAGAAAUAAUGGUCCCCCUGGCCUUGAGUCCUCAUUCACACACGGGUUGCGGGAUGAUAGGUUUAAGCCUUUCCCAGAUGAGCGUUCCAAUUCUUUUCCGGCAGGCCGACAUGUAACUGAUAAAGGAGAGUUUGAAGAUGAUCUCAAGCAAUUCCCCAGGCCUUCUCGUUUGGAUGCCGAGCCUUUACCAAAGUUUGGGAGUUAUUCAUCAAGGCCCCAUGAUAUGGGACCCCAUGGGCUAAAUUAUGAUACUGGUUUGAAAUUGGAUCCUGGGGCAGGUGGUGCCCGUUCAAGAUUCUUGCCUCCCUUUGAUAGAGGAGAGAGACCAGUUGGUUUACCUGAUUCCUCUACUAUUCAUCCAGAUUUUCUUGGACCAGUUACUGGUUAUGGUCGGCGUCACAUGGAUGGUCUUGCUCCUAGAAGUCCAGUUAGAGAGUACCCAGGCAUCUCCUCACAUGGUUUUGGAGGCCUUCCUGGCCAGUUAGGUCCAGAUGAUUUUGAUGGCAGCGAGUCACGUCGAUUUGGUGAUCCAAUUGGCAAGUCCUUCCAUGAAAGCAGGUUUCCUAUGUUGCCCAGUCAUUUGCACAGAGGUGAGUUUGAGGGUCCUGGUAAGUUGCGAAUGAGUGAGCAUUUAAGGAGUGGUGAAUUGAUUGGUUUAGAUGGCCAUUUACGGAGAGGCGAACAUAUGGGUCCACAGAACAUGCCCAGUCAUUUGCGGCUGGGAGAGCCAAUUGGUUUUGGUGAUUAUCCUGGUCAUCCACGGAUGGGAGAACUGGCUGGGCUGGGGAACUUCGAACCAUUUGGUGCAGGCAACAGGCCAGGUCAUCCACGAUUUGGUGAGUCUGGAUUUAGGAGCAGUUUUCCUCGUCAGGGAUUUCCGAAUGAUGCUGGAAUUGAUACAGGAGAAAUGGAGUCUUUUGGUAACUUGAGGAAGAGGAAGGCAGCUAGCAUGGGAUGGUGCCGAAUCUGUAAAGUUGAUUGUGAAACAGUUGAAGGCUUGGAACUGCACUCACAAACAAGGGAGCACCAGAAGAUGGCAAUGGAUAUGGUACGGAGCAUCAAGCAAAAUGCAAAGAAACAGAAACAAACAUCUGGUGACAACUCCUCGCUUGAAGAUGCAAGCAAGUCAAGGAAUACAAGUUUUGAGGGCCGUGGGAAUAAUCAUUAAGUGAUUAUGGUUGCUUCCCUGUUAAUGGAGAUGGUUUGGAACUGAAGUGCAGUGGCAGGUUUCAUCACUAGAAUUAAACUUGUCUGAUAUGGUUGCUUGGUUUUGCUGGUGAUUUGCUUCUGGUGUCAAAACUUUCAGAUUUUCAAUUCGACCUGUCUUUUUACGGCGAAGCAGACGACAAAAUGGCUGAAAGUUCAGUGGAAAGGUUUACUCGGUGACCUUAUAUGGAUGUGUUACGGAGUGGCCUUUUCGAAGUUGGAUGCAAUUAUGGAAUUCAAACCCUGCUUGGUCGUGUUUUUACCAGGUUUGUGGUUUUGAAGGCUUUUUUUUUUUGGUAAGAAAUUCUGUCUUAAAUAUUAACUUUUCUGUCUUCUUGCUUUUUUUUUUUUUUCUGCCUUUUAAGAUUGCCUGAACAUUUUGUGUGAUACUGCUAGUUGUAUACAUACAGGUGGUCUUAGAUUUGAAAUUGACUAGGAACUAAAUACUUCUUUCUUUUGUCUCAUAUUUAUUAUUUAUGAUAACAGAGCACUAAUCAUGGUUUUUUUUUUUUUUUUUUUUUUUUUUUUAUAAAAUUUUUAUAUAUUAUCAAAUAGUAUAAUUUUCCCUGGCCUCUUCAAAAUCAAUAGUUAAGGUGUUAAUAAACAACAAAAGCUCAACCUAUACUUGUCUUGCACAGGUGGCUGUGCACAAAUUAUUUCUAUAAAUGUCAUGACAUUACUAGAAAUGUCUAGGGGAGAAGGCCUAGGUUAAGGUAUCAAUAUGAGCUUUAGCACAUGCACUAUCUACCACAUAGAUGACAUAGUUCUUAGUGACCAGUCACCUGUGGAUAGUUAUUCUAGAUAGAGAAUGCCUUGAUGGUAAAAACAACAUUGUAGAGAACAUUGAUAGUAGGAACAAUUAACUGGAUUGGACUGUACUGGCUAUCAAUUUGUUUGAUGGUAGAUUUGAAAGGGCUUCAUUUAAUUGUAUUGAAUUUGAUGUUUUCUCAAUAUUUUUUGUGUUAAAUUAUCUUGGUAAUUGACUUUUUUGGAAUUCAGAGUGCUCAGUUUUUUUUUUUUUUUUUUUUUAAUUAAGGUUUUGCUGUUGUUUAGAUGUUAGAAAUACUUGGUAGUUUUUCUUGCUUGGCCAGAAUGUUGUUAAUUGAUUACCUAUUAUAUUGGAUGUUUUGCCUUAAUAGCUUAAAUCUAUAUGAUGACCCUAAAUGCUUAGGCUGGUUAGGAAAUACUAGAAUUAUGGUCAAUUUUUGCUUUAGGGUUGAAUGAAAUCCCUUUUGAUAAGAAUAGUGAAAUUUCUUUCUCAAACAAGUUAAUGCUCCACUCUUUUGAUUUCCUAUUACCGAGAAGAAGCUUUUUAAUUAUGGAUUGCUUGUUGUUCACUAUUAAGGAAUUGAAAAUUGUUAAGAUCCAACGAUCUUUUCAAAUUUUCAACUGGGUGGAUAUCAGGAGGAAAUUUGUCUUUCAUGCUCUUCUUGCUUUUGGACAUUCAUUACCUCCAAAAACUAUUAAAAGAAAGCAAUGAAAGUACAAGUGAAAGCCUCUAAAGUAGCUCUCUUAUGGUUGGAAAAUACAUCAGAUGCGUUUUAGCUAAGUAUUAGAGGUUGGAUUUGCUAGCCUCUAAAACUGUUGUUACUGGCCAAAACCGUAAGUUAGUAACAUGAGUAUAAAAGUGCAAUUCAACAAAAAUUUAGCCUAAGAAAUCAGGUUGCAUAAAAUUUUAUAGGUAAAAUUACUAAUUUGGUUUUUCAACUAUUAGACAAAGUUCAAUUUGUGGGCCUUAACAAUUAAUUGUGUCAAUUUUAUUCCUCAACAUUCAAAACCAAGUUAAUUUUAUCUUUUGAGUUUCUUCUCCUCUCUUUUAAGUAUUUUACGAGAUUAUCUGACACUAAUGUUGAUAAAAGUGGUUAUGAAGAGUCAAUGUCUUAUCAGUUUAGAUAAUCCUUUUAAGAAUUUAAAGGGAGAGGAGACUUAAGGAUGAAGUUGACCUGAAUUUGAAAUUUGAGGGACAAAGUGGACUCAAAUAAUAGUCAAGGGACCAAAUUGAAAUUUGCCUUCUAGUUGGAUGACUAAAUUGGUAUUUUAAUAAAUUUCAUAUUAUGGCUUUUGGUGACAGAUUUUAAUUGAUAUUUUAUGAUAAGGAUUCUAAAUUAAAAAAUAAUAAUAAUAAAAGUGAGUCAUUGCACCAGUUUGGUGAGGGUGCUAUUGACAUCCAAUUUGGUCAGAAGCUUUGUCAAUGAGGAUGUGAUGUUGCUAUUAAUUGUUCAAGUAAUUUUAAUAGUUUUCCAGCAAUAUCAGCCUCUGAAAUAUUGUAUUUCAAUUUCAAAUUUGGGCAGCUUCAUAAUGCUUCACUCAAUUCUUAUCCUCUUAUAAUGGUGGCCGGGCCAAGAGUUUUCGUAGCCCAACUAGCAUCUUUUGGCGCUUCCAAACAUCUAGGGUCCAAAUAAAAAUCUUGUUCUCUUACCUUCAAGGAGCAUCAAAAGAGAGUCGUCAUUCUGUAGCAUCUUGUGGCACUGUCUACUCACUAGUGUCCCUGUGGGGGAGAAUCUAGGUUUGAAUCCCUUUCCAAUCACUUAUUGUGAGUGAAAAAAAAAAAAAAAUGCAACAUGAGAAAAUAGAUAUAGGAAAACUAAAAAUACAAUCUAGAGGCAGCUUGAGAACGCUCACAAACCUAAAAUCUUUGUACAACAUAAAAAGAAAGAGACCUACAAUUGUCAUUUCCCUAAGUGUGCAAGGUAUUCUAUUUAAAACAAGAAUUUUUUAAAAAAUAAAUUUUUGAUUGGUUAUAUUAAAAAAAUGCCUCUCACCCCUAUGUAGAAUGUUUAGUUUGUUAUUUGGUGCUAACUUAUUUUGAAGGUGUGUGGCUAUCAGUGAGUGCUAGGGACGAGGUCCUGCGUUGGCUAAUGUCAGUACUCCCUUGUAUGCAUUGCGAAGAUGUUACUUGUAACUUCCACACUACGUAAGUACGUAUGCUUAUGUAUAAAGCUUGGCUUUGGUGGGAAACUUCUUAUGCAUAUGCCUAGUAGUUGCCUAUGUUGUGGUGGUGUAUCGUGUUGGCUUACACUAUAGUUUUACGCUUAUAAAUUAUAUAUUUUGCAAUUUUACUCAACACCCCUUGAUUGGGAAAAAUGCAGGAACCGUGUUAUCUAUUUUACCAAGACAAUCCUAAUGUUUAAAUUGCUUUUAUUCUAUGGGUUUGUUGUAGCGAGC